This 459-nucleotide ribosomal RNA is filed under the name uncultured bacterium. RNAcentral's name for it is "partial 16S ribosomal RNA". It matches the Rfam family "Bacterial small subunit ribosomal RNA", at positions 338 to 795 of the family's 1533-position model. The record is from RNAcentral.
CCUACGUGUGGCAGCAGUGAGGAAUAUUGGUCAAUGGCCGGGAGGCUGAACCAGCCAAGUCGCGUGAGGGAAGACGGCCCUACGGGUUGUAAACCUCUUUUGUCAGGGAGCCAGGUGCAGGUCGGGACCUGCUGUGAGAGUACCUGAAGAAAAAGCAUCCGCUAACUCCGUGCCAGCAGACGCGGUAAUCCGGGGGAUGCGAGCGUUAUCCGGAUUGAUGGGGUUUAAGGGGUGCGCAGGCGGAGGCACAAGUCCGCGGUAAAAUCGCGGGGCUCAACCCCGCUGCGCCGUUGAAACUGUGUGCCUUGAGUGCGCGAAGGGUAGGCGGAAUGCGUGGUGUAGCGGUGAAAUGCAUAGAUAGCACGCAGAACUCCGAUCGCGAAGGCAGCCUACCGGCGCGCAACUGACGCUCAUGCACGAAAGCGUGGGUAUCGAACAGGAUUAGAUACCCGAGUAGUC